AAAUAAGCCUCCGCCCGGCUUCGUUGCAUCCACGCACGCAGCAAGCGAUCGGAUUUCGCCAGCAUGGCGGCGGCGGCCGUGGUGUUCGACGCCGAGGCGCUGAGCCGGGAGGAGCACAUCCCGGCGCAGUUCGUGUGGCCCACCGAGGAGCGGGCGCCGGCGGGCGGCGUGGAGGAGGUCGCCAUCCCCGUGGUCGACCUCGGCGAGUUCCUCCGCCGCGGGGUGCUCCCGCGCGGCGUGGCGGAGGCGUGCGAGCGCCACGGCGUCUUCCAGGUGGUGAACCACGGCGUGGGCGCCGCGCUGCUCGCCGAGGCCUACCGCUGUUGCGACGCCUUUUACGCGCUCCCGCUCGCGGACAAGCAGCGCGCGCAGCGCCGGCACGGGGAGAACCACGGCUACGCCAGCAGCUUCACGGGCCGCUUCCACUGCUGCCUGCCGUGGAAGGAGACGCUGUCCUUCAACUGCCCCGCCGGUGCCGGGACUGCGCGCGCCGUCGUCGGCUACUUCGUCGACGUCCUCGGCGAGGACUACCGCCACAUGGGGGAGGUGUACCAGGAGUACUGCGACGCGAUGACGCGUCUGGCGCUGGACGUGACGGAGGUGCUGGCGGCAGCGCUGGGGCUGGACCGCGGCGCACUGCGCGGCUUCUUCGAGGGCGGCGACUCCGUCAUGCGGCUGAACCACUACCCGGCGUGCCGGCAGCCGCACCUGACGCUGGGGACGGGCCCGCACCGGGACCCGACGUCGCUGACGCUGCUGCACCAGGACGACGUGGGCGGGCUGCAGGUGCGCGCCGGCGGCGGGCCGUGGCGCGCGGUGCGGCCCCGCGCGGACGCGUUCGUGGUCAACAUUGGCGACACCUUCGCCGCGCUCACCGACGGGCGUCACACCAGCUGCCUGCACCGCGCCGUGGUGACCGGCGGCGGCUCCCGCCGGUCGCUCGCCUUCUUCCUCAACCCGCCGCUGGACCGCGUCGUCCGCCCGCCGGGCGCGCUCCUCCAGGAGAACAAGCAGGCGGGCCGCCCGCGCGCGUUCCCGGACUUCACGUGGCGCGAGUUCCUCGAGUUCACGCAGAAGCACUACCGGUCGGACGCGGGCACCAUGGACGCCUUCGUGUCGUGGAUCGCGGGAGGCCGCCGCCACCAUGGCGGACAGGAGGAGGGCAACUGAGAUCGAUGCAUCUCUAGCUGUAGGCAGCAGCGCAGCAGCUACCAAGAAUAAUGGCCGGCGACGGAGAUGCAGCUACGACGCACAAAUAAAUUGAGUGUUUGUGGUACAAUAAGGACGAGGACGAUCAAUGGCGACCUGUAACCGGUGCAGUUUUAGUUAAUCUUUCAUGGCGAUAUGGCAUUAACCAAUCGUUGGUGUAAAAUGCGUGCAUGCUUUGCAUGCCAAUGUUGGCCAUGUGAUGGCACAGCGUGAGUGUAGCUCACCCACCGUGACAACGUGCUAAUUUCGUGUGGUCCUAGAUACCAAGGUCGUCUAAUGAACUUGAUGGAUUGAUGAUUU
Molecule: unclassified non-coding RNA, 1509 nt
Filed under: Zea mays
Lineage: Eukaryota; Viridiplantae; Streptophyta; Magnoliopsida; Poales; Poaceae
Description: misc RNA Zm00001eb117120
Source: RNAcentral